AGCGAACGCUGGCGGCAGGCCUAACACAUGCAAGUCGAACGCCCCUUCGGGGGAGUGGCGGACGGGUGAGUAACGCGUGGGAAUGUGCCCUUUGGUACGGAACAACUGAGGGAAACUUCAGCUAAUACCGUAUGUGCCCUACGGGGGAAAGAUUUAUCGCCAUUGGAGCAGCCCGCGUUGGAUUAGGUAGUUGGUGGGGUAAUGGCCCACCAAGCCGACGAUCCAUAGCUGGUCUGCGAGGAUGAGCAGCCACACUGGGGCUGAGACACGGCCCAGACUCCUACGGGAGGCAGCAGUGGGGAAUCUUGCGCAAUGGGCGAAAGGCUGACGCAGCCAUGCCGGGUGAAUGAUGAAGGUCUUAGGAUUGUAAAAUUCUUUCACCGGGGAAGAUAAUGACGGUACCCGGAGAAGAAGCCCCGGCUAACUUCGUG
RNAcentral lists this ribosomal RNA (431 nucleotides) under uncultured bacterium. RNAcentral's name for it is "partial 16S ribosomal RNA". It matches the Rfam family "Bacterial small subunit ribosomal RNA", at positions 29 to 507 of the family's 1533-position model. The record is from RNAcentral.